This 224-nucleotide unclassified non-coding RNA is filed under the name Hevea brasiliensis (rubber tree). The record is from RNAcentral. Lineage: Eukaryota; Viridiplantae; Streptophyta; Magnoliopsida; Malpighiales; Euphorbiaceae.
AAAUCACUGGCCUCGACUCCAGCGAGUGAUUGAAUGGGAUGAGAAGAGGAGGUGGUUGAUUGGGUGACCAAACACCAGAACGCCUAGAGAUAUUCCCUUGCGUGAAUAAAUUUGGUGGAGAGAGAUCAUUUGUCCUUAGUCGAAAAUUUCGGUGAGAACUUUCAGCAUUACCAGACACACUGGGAGAGGGAUAGCAGUCAGGAGCCAUUCCUCUUACAACCGUG